This 253-nucleotide ribosomal RNA is filed under the name uncultured bacterium. RNAcentral describes it as "partial 16S ribosomal RNA". It matches the Rfam family "Bacterial small subunit ribosomal RNA", at positions 524 to 776 of the family's 1533-position model. The record is from RNAcentral.
UACGUAGGGGGCGAGCGUUGUCCGGAUUCAUUGGGCGUAAAGCGCGCGCAGGCGGCCGCGAGAGCCCGGCGUGAAAGCCCCCGGCUCAACCGGGGGAGGCCGUCGGGGACCUCGGGGCUGGAGGCCGGUAGGGGCGAGCGGAAUUCCCGGUGUAGUGGUGGAAUGUGUAGAGAUCGGGAGGAACACCGGUGGCGGAGGCGGCUCGCUGGGCCGGUCCUGACGCUCGGGCGCGAAAGCGUGGGUAGCAAACAGG